GACGAACGCUGGCGGCGUGCUUAACACAUGCAAGUCGAGCGGUAAGGCCCUUUCGGGGGUACACGAGCGGCGAACGGGUGAGUAACACGUGGGUGACCUGCCCUCAGCUCUGGGAUAAGCCUGGGAAACCGGGUCUAAUACUGGAUAUGACUCCAUGACGCAUGUUGUGGGGUGGAAAGCCUUGUGCGGCUGAGGAUGGGCCCGCGGCCUAUCAGCUUGUUGGUGGGGUGAUGGCCUACCAAGGCGACGACGGGUAGCCGGCCUGAGAGGGCGACCGGCCACACUGGGACUGAGACACGGCCCAGACUCCUACGGGAGGCAGCAGUGGGGAAUCUUGCGCAAUGGGCGAAAGCCUGACGACGCAACGCCGCGU
RNAcentral lists this ribosomal RNA (373 nucleotides) under uncultured bacterium. RNAcentral's name for it is "bacterial SSU rRNA". It matches the Rfam family "Bacterial small subunit ribosomal RNA", at positions 28 to 402 of the family's 1533-position model. The record is from RNAcentral.